GGCAGGCAAGCGGCGAGAACAAAUCGAUGGACUAAGCCUGUAGAUGCCUCGAGUGGAGCAUUCUCGGACGGGGGUUCGAUUCCCCCCGCCUCCACCA
RNAcentral lists this transfer RNA (97 nucleotides) under Desulfobaculum xiamenense. RNAcentral describes it as "tRNA-Ser". It matches the Rfam family "transfer-messenger RNA", at positions 276 to 374 of the family's 374-position model. From Rfam's summary of the family: Bacterial tmRNA, also known as 10Sa RNA or SsrA, is named for its dual tRNA and mRNA-like properties. Its role is to liberate the mRNA from a stalled ribosome. Lineage: Bacteria; Pseudomonadati; Thermodesulfobacteriota; Desulfovibrionia; Desulfovibrionales; Desulfovibrionaceae. The record is from RNAcentral.